RNAcentral lists this ribosomal RNA (247 nucleotides) under Mantidactylus opiparis. RNAcentral describes it as "partial 16S ribosomal RNA". It matches the Rfam family "Bacterial large subunit ribosomal RNA", at positions 2288 to 2597 of the family's 2925-position model. Lineage: Eukaryota; Metazoa; Chordata; Amphibia; Anura; Mantellidae. The record is from RNAcentral.
GAGUACAACCAAACCUCCGCAAUGGACGGGACCACUCCCUUAUCUNAGAGCCACACCUCUAAGAAUUAAAACACUAACAUAAAAUGAUCCAUGAUCUGAUCAAUGAACCAAGUUACCCUGGGGAUAACAGCGCAAUCCAUUUCAAGAGCCCUUAUCGACAAGUGGGUUUACGACCUCGAUGUUGGAUCAGGGUAUCCUAGUGGUGCAGCAGCUACUAAUGGUUCGUUUGUUCAACGAUUAAAACCCU